Molecule: ribosomal RNA, 424 nt
Filed under: uncultured bacterium
Lineage: Bacteria
Description: bacterial LSU rRNA
Rfam family: Bacterial large subunit ribosomal RNA
Source: RNAcentral
GACGAAGAGGAACGAACCAGAUCGUCAGCUAAGGUCCCCAAGUCGUGACUAAGUGGGAAAGGAUGUGGGAGCGCUUAGACAGCCAGGAGGUUGGCUUAGAAGCAGCCAUCCUUCAAAGAAAGCGUAACAGCUCACUGGUCGAGCGAACCCGCGCCGAAAAUUCAACGGGUCUCAAGUCACGCACCGAAGCUACGGGUUUCUGCAAAGAAGCGGUAGGCGAGCAUUCUCUGUGCGGUGAAGGCGUACGGUAACGAGCGUUGGAGCGCAGAGAAGAGCUGAUGUUGGCGUGAGUAGCGAUAAAGAGAGUGAAAAACUCUCUCGCCGUAAACCCAAGGGUUCCUGGGUAAAGAUAAUCUGCUCAGGGUUAGUCGGUCCCUAAGGCGAGGCCGAAAGGCGUAGUCGAUGGGAAGCAGGCGAACAUUCC